This 82-nucleotide transfer RNA is filed under the name Felis catus (domestic cat). It matches the Rfam family "tRNA". From Rfam's summary of the family: Transfer RNA (tRNA) molecules are approximately 80 nucleotides in length. Their secondary structure includes four short double-helical elements and three loops (D, anti-codon, and T loops). Further hydrogen bonds mediate the characteristic L-shaped molecular structure. tRNAs have two regions of fundamental functional importance: the anti-codon, which is responsible for specific mRNA codon recognition, and the 3' end, to which the tRNAs corresponding amino acid is attached (by aminoacyl-tRNA synthetases). tRNAs cope with the degeneracy of the genetic code in two manners: having more than one tRNA (with a specific anti-codon) for a particular amino acid; and 'wobble' base-pairing, i.e. permitting non-standard base-pairing at the 3rd anti-codon position. Lineage: Eukaryota; Metazoa; Chordata; Mammalia; Carnivora; Felidae. RNAcentral also lists the same sequence under 1 other name. The record is from Rfam by way of RNAcentral.
GCCUGUGUAGCUCAGUUGGUUGAGUGACUGACUGGCUCAGGUUUGAUCUUGCAGUCCGUGAGUUCAAGCCCCACCUCAGGCU